RNAcentral lists this ribosomal RNA (216 nucleotides) under uncultured bacterium. RNAcentral describes it as "partial 16S ribosomal RNA". It matches the Rfam family "Bacterial small subunit ribosomal RNA", at positions 118 to 351 of the family's 1533-position model. The record is from RNAcentral.
UGGGAACGUACCUCUUGGUUCGGAACAACACAGGGAAACUUGUGCUAAUACCGGAUAAGCCCUUACGGGGAAAGAUUUAUCGCCGAGAGAUCGGCCCGCGUCUGAUUAGCUAGUUGGUGAGGUAACGGCUCACCAAGGCGACGAUCAGUAGCUGGUCUGAGAGGACGAUCAGCCACACUGGGACUGAGACACGGCCCAGACUCCUACGGGAGGCAG